RNAcentral lists this unclassified non-coding RNA (3389 nucleotides) under Hevea brasiliensis (rubber tree). The record is from RNAcentral. Lineage: Eukaryota; Viridiplantae; Streptophyta; Magnoliopsida; Malpighiales; Euphorbiaceae.
GGCAGAGUCCAACAAAUAAAAAAUUGUUUAUUUGAGAAUAUUCAUUUACAAGCACCUCUCCACUUAAAAAAAGCAAAGUAAAUCCUGAAGAUGUAAAUGAAACUAAGAAUUAAGAAACCCUAAUUCCUACCACUUGGCAAAAUAUUUAGCUCAUAAUGCCAGGCAAAAGCUGCAGGAUUAGGCUAUUGCCUCCUGGACUGGGUUCAUUACCCAUUGAAGCUUUAGCUUUAGUUUCUCUCUUGUUUCUUGAUUCUGUUCAGUUUGGUUUGGCUGAACUGAGAUCCUAUCUUGUAUCUUGAUUCUGUUCUGCUUAGUUUGAAUGAAUGAUCUCAGUUCAAAAGAGCUCAUAAUGCCCUGCAUAAUAAUCUAUCAUGAAAAAUGAAAAUCAUUUCCGCAAACACAAUCUUUUGGUAGUAUAAAAACAAAAGAAAUAAGCCACUCCCUACACUUCGCUUUAUAACGGGGGAAAAGAGAGUACCUCAAAAUCAGGUUGCUUGGGAAAUAAAAUGAAAAUUGCUGCUCCAUAUGCAACUCUUGCAGCUCCUCUUAAUUAAUUGGCAAAAUAUUGGAAUAGAAGAGUCCAUUCUAAAAAUCUAAAAAUCGCUCAUCAGUGUUUGUAUAAGGAUGGAAUUCUCUAAUUCUCGAUAUUCACUUCAAACAAUGCUUCAGAUUGCUAGGAGUAAUAAGUUAAUAACCGAAAAAGACACAAGGUCCAACAGUGAACUUAUCACUGCAUGCUAGAGUAUUAAACAACUAGCGGCAUUAAUAAUUGUACAGGAAAAUUAUUAUACAGUUGAUAUCUAAUUCUCUUCUGGAGCAGGCAUCAGCCGAAGCCUUCCCUCUGAUGGCUGAUUACCACCAGAAAACCUCUCUUCUGCCAAUAAAGACUGUAAAUCACUACCAUUGGCCAAACUGUUGAAUUCUACUGCUUUAGAUGGCACAGUUGGAUAGCGCCGUUGGCAAAAGGUCAUCAAUCUCUUGACCGACUGUAAGUAUUUGCGGGUAGUCUCAUCAUUCAUGAUGUGGGCCACGCUAUUGGUGUAAAUCUUCUCACGAGCUGAACGUUCAUGAAUGCCAACCAUGGUAACUCCAAUUGGCCACGGUGCAUUACCAAUUGCCAGCUUAAUAUAAUGAUCCAUGGCAGCUAGGUAGUCUCGCUUCAUGCAGCACUCAACCACCACUAGCAACGCUUGACGAAUAUCAUCAGGAAGAACCUACAGAAAGAAGGUAGCAUGAGUUGAAUGUAUGAUACUUAAAUAUCAAUAUAACAUAAACCUUGUAAAUGGAGAAAAAGUAAGAAAUAUAAUCUAUUUAUAUACAAUUUGAUCUCCAUGUGCACGAGUGCAUGCAUGCACUUGUGUGUGAGAGAGUGAGUGAGAUCAAAAUUUAAAGGGCUUGAAAGCAAAGAAAAACUAUUGAUCGACCAGCCAAAACUUAAAUAUGAAAGCAAAAUGAAAUUUCUUAGAUGCAAAGAGAUUAAACAAAAACAACUGAACAUAAACUGAAAGUUAGAUGAAACAAAAAGAUUAUAAGAAUCGGUAUAAAUAGAGGAAGGAAUAGACCAUUAUGCUUUCUAUGAUACCAAAUUGCCAAAUGCACAAUAUGCCUUUCGUUCACCCUUUAGGCUGCUUUUUUUUUGUUUUUGGUCUCCACGAUGCCUUCUUCCCCCUAUCUUUAACUUCUCUUUCAGAGGAAUCUUAUUUGAUAACUCCUACAUCAUUGGUAAUUGCCAGCGCUGUGUGCAUGUCGUAGCAUUGAUAUGUUCAAGUGAUUACAAUUUACUAAUCCAUGGCAUCCUUUAGCCCAUUUUUCUUUUGACAAGUGUUGGACUACCUUUCUCUAGUAAGUUUGGAACUGUGGCUUCAAAAAAGUGUUUAUUUGGUCAUUUUUGGGUGCUGGAUCCACCUAGACCUCAGUUCAAUUACACUCCCUUCUGCUAGAAAUAAAAGACAGAUAAAACAGAAGUUCAAGGUGCAAUAUUUCAGCAAUAAAACUACUCUGAAUAAAUAAGGUAGAUGUAGGCAAAGUAGAUCACUAGAAGUUACGGGCAGAUUAAGGUGGUAGGAACAAAUAUCAAGAUUCUCUUGGAUCCAUUGAUAAGCUUUAUGGCUACGAUUCCCAGUAUAAUGUAGCCUACUACCUCACUGUAUGAUACCCUUACAAACUACUUGCUGGAUUAAUUAGCAGCCCAAUGUUGCACCAGUAACAGGAAAAUUGCCUUGUUCCCUUUUUCCUUUUUCCUACUUUUCAAGUUUCUAAGGGAAUUUGUAACUGAUAAUUACAAUUUGUACUAAUUUAUACUGCUGAGAAACAUCCUCGACUCAUUUUAACCAAUUACAAGAAAAAUUUUACAUAACCAGAAGCUCCAUAUCAACAUUUAAUUGACAAACCAAUAUUGAAUUUGAAAUAGAAACGAUAUUCAAAGCAAUAAAUUAAAGCCAAAAUGCUUACCUUCUUCCUGCAAAACUUGAAUAAUGGAUUCAGAUACCUGGCGCACUGUUUAAAGGUAGCAACCAUUGACUUCCCUUUAGCCGUCCGCUUCUCUGCGUCAGGCAUCUCAUCCAACUCCUGUUUCCACUCAUUCAACAGCCUUUUGAAGAACACCAGAAUCUUAUCCUCAUCACACAACUCUUCAAAAUUGGCCUUCAUCCGCUUCAAAUCCUUAUCAGCAUCGACACCACUAGAGCCACCAUCGGCGCUCAGCUCCCCCUCCCCUUCCCCUACCUCUCCAUCCUCUCCACCUCCUUCCUCCCUAUCCUUCCUUUUCCGCUCGCUCAGAAUUCCGGUCUUCUGGCGCUUUCUGAGCUCAGCAAUAUCACGCAAAAAGUCAUUGGUCUGCCCCUCAGUCAUGUCGUUAUCGACCUCGAAGAUUCCAGCCUUCAAGACGUACUUCAACCUGUCAAGCCGAGCAUCGUCGUCUUCACCAAAGAGAGUGAUGGGCUGUUUUAGGAACCGAAGGCGGCGGAUGACCUCUUGUUUAGGGAGGACAAGGUUGUCGAUGUUUUGUUCAUCGGUUAGGGAUUUGGAUGUCGUGGGGAUGGAGGUGGAGGUGGUAGCGGUGGCAGUAGCAGUGGCGGUGGCAGUGGAUUUUGUGGAGGUUGUGGUUGUAGAGGCAGCUGCGGUUUGGCGUUGGGCUUUGGCUUCUAAUUCCCGCUUUUCUUCUUCGCGGAGCUUUUGUAUUUCUUUUUGUUGGAUUUCAGAGCGCUUGAAGACUCGUUUUCCGCCGGUGUCUUGAGCCAGGGAUUGACGUUUCUUGAGAAGUUCUUGCUUGAGGAGAUCCAUCUAGGGUUUGUCUGGUCGGCGAUGCUGAAGCCGAUGAGAAGGGCUGGUUGUAUUUUUAGGCUUGGGAAUUUGGGAAUCGGGAAUUUUUCCGGUCUAAACAGGUGGUU